Molecule: ribosomal RNA, 468 nt
Filed under: uncultured bacterium
Lineage: Bacteria
Description: bacterial SSU rRNA
Rfam family: Bacterial small subunit ribosomal RNA
Source: RNAcentral
GACCAGACUCCUACGGGAGGCAGCAGUGAGGAAUAUUGGUCAAUGGGCUUACGCCUGAACCAGCCAAGUCGCGUGAGGGAAGACUGCCCUAUGGGUUGUAAACCUCUUUUGUCAGGGAGCAAUUGGCGCUACGUGUAGCGUUAUCGAGAGUACCUGAAGAAAAAGCAUCGGCUAAUUCCGUGCCAGCAGCCGCGGUAAUACGGAGGAUGCGAGCGUUAUCCGGAUUUAUUGGGUUUAAAGGGUGCGCAGGGGGAGAUUUAAGUCAGCGGAAAAAUGGGGGGGCGCACCCCCGACGAGCCGUUGAAACUGGCUUGCUAGAGUGGGCGAGAAGUAUGCGGAAUGCGUGGUGUAGCGGUGAAAUGCAUAGAUAUCACGCAGAACUCCGAUUGCGAAGGCAGCAUACCGGCGCCCAACUGACGCUCAGGCACGAAAGCGUGGGUAUCGAACAGGAUUAGAUACCCUUGUAAC